AGAGAGGUGGCCGAGCGGUCGAAGGCGCGCGCCUGGAAAGUGCGUAUACGGAGCAAUUCGUAUCGAGGGUUCGAAUCCCUUCCUCUCUGCUA
This 92-nucleotide transfer RNA is filed under the name Rhodothermaeota bacterium MED-G18. Its description in RNAcentral is "tRNA-Ser". It matches the Rfam family "tRNA". From Rfam's summary of the family: Transfer RNA (tRNA) molecules are approximately 80 nucleotides in length. Their secondary structure includes four short double-helical elements and three loops (D, anti-codon, and T loops). Lineage: Bacteria; Pseudomonadati; Rhodothermota. RNAcentral also lists the same sequence under 2 other names. The record is from RNAcentral.